UGUACCUACGGGGGGCAGCAGUGGGGAAUAUUGGGCAAUGGGCGCAAGCCUGACCCAGCAACGCCGCGUGAAGGAAGAAGGCUUUCGGGUUGUAAACUUCUUUUCUCAGGGACGAAGAAAGUGACGGUACCUGAGGAAUAAGCCACGGCUAACUACGAGCCAGCAGCCGCGGUAAUACGGAGGAUGCGAGCGUUAUCCGGAUUUAUUGGGUUUAAAGGGUGCGUAGGCGGAACAUUAAGUCAGCGGUAAAAUCGAGGGGCUCAACCCCUUUAAGCCGUUGAAACUGGUGAUCUUGAGUGGGCGAG
RNAcentral lists this ribosomal RNA (305 nucleotides) under uncultured bacterium. RNAcentral's name for it is "bacterial SSU rRNA". It matches the Rfam family "Bacterial small subunit ribosomal RNA", at positions 334 to 654 of the family's 1533-position model. The record is from RNAcentral.